RNAcentral lists this unclassified non-coding RNA (330 nucleotides) under soil metagenome. Its description in RNAcentral is "partial contains 5.8S ribosomal RNA, internal transcribed spacer 2, and large subunit ribosomal RNA". The stretch from base 1 to 120 matches the Rfam family "5.8S ribosomal RNA", at positions 35 to 154 of the family's 154-position model. The record is from RNAcentral.
GAUGAAGAACGCAGCGAAAUGCGAUAAGUAAUGUGAAUUGCAGAAUUCAGUGAAUCAUCGAAUCUUUGAACGCACAUUGCGCCCCUUGGUAUUCCGAGGGGCAUGCCUGUUCGAGCGUCAUUAUAACCCCUCAAGCUUAGCUUGGUGUUGGGGCCUGCUGUAAUAGAGCAGCCCUUAAAAUCAGUGGCGGUGCCAUUAGGCUCUAAGCGUAGUAAUUCUUCUCGCUAUAGGGUUCUGGUGGAUGCUAGCCAUUAACCUCUAAUUUUCUAUGGUUGACCUCGGAUCAGGUAGGGAUACCCGCUGAACUUAAGCAUAUCAAUAAGCGGAGGA